GAUGAACGCUGGCGGCGUGCCUAAUACAUGCAAGUCGAGCGAACAGAUGAGGAGCUUGCUCCUCUGACGUUAGCGGCGGACGGGUGAGUAACACGUGGAUAACCUACCUAUAAGACUGGGAUAACUUCGGGAAACCGGAGCUAAUACCGGAUAAUAUAUUGAACCGCAUGGUUCAAUAGUGAAAGACGGUUUUGCUGUCACUUAUAGAUGGAUCCGCGCCGCAUUAGCUAGUUGGUAAGGUAACGGCUUACCAAGGCAACGAUGCGUAGCCGACCUGAGAGGGGGAUCGGCCACACGGGAACGGAGACACGGUCCAGACUCCUACGGGAGGCAGCAGUAGGGAAUCUGCCGCAAUGGGCGAAAGCUUGACGGAGCAACGCCGCGUGAGUGAUGAAGGUCUUCGGAUCGUAAAACUCUGUUAUGAGGGAAGAACAAAUGUGUAAGUAACUAUGCACGUCUUGACGGUACCUAAUCAGAAAGCCACGGCUAACUACGUG
RNAcentral lists this ribosomal RNA (497 nucleotides) under uncultured bacterium. RNAcentral's name for it is "partial 16S ribosomal RNA". It matches the Rfam family "Bacterial small subunit ribosomal RNA", at positions 28 to 507 of the family's 1533-position model. The record is from RNAcentral.